CCCUUAGAUGUUCUGGGCCGCACGCGCGCUACACUGAUGCAUUCAACGAGUCCAACCUUGACCGAGAGGUCCGGGUAAUCUUUGAAACUGCAUCGUGAUGGGGCUAGAUUAUUGCAAUUAUUAAUCUUCAACGAGGAAUGCCUAGUAAGCGUGAUUCAUCAAAUCGCGUUGAUUACGUCCCUGCCCUUUGUACGCACCGCCCGUCGCUCCUACCGAUUGAGUGUGUUGGUGAGGAGUUUGGAUUGGCCUCGGAAGGUGGUUCGCCACCGUCCGUAGCUGAGAAGUUCUCCAAACCGCCCCACUUAGAGGAAGGAGAAGUCGUAACA
Molecule: ribosomal RNA, 326 nt
Filed under: uncultured eukaryote
Lineage: Eukaryota
Description: partial 18S ribosomal RNA
Rfam family: Eukaryotic small subunit ribosomal RNA
Source: RNAcentral